GGCAGAAUAGUGCCUGCCUGCCUGCCAGCCAGAAGGCUCCACCCACUUCUUUAGUAGAAGUGACAACAGGUGUGGUCGUGGAAACACCUGGACCUCAUCUCCUCGCCAAGGUGAGUAACAAAAGGAGAAACGGGGAAGAUGUGGAAGAGGAGGCUCAAGGAGAGGAGCUGUGUGGGUGCUCCCUUAGACCGCCAUGGUGGAGAAAUACGUCCCGCUGCUGUCCUCCUGAUCCAUGCAGUUACUGUGGCAAUGGUGACAGGAAUUAUGGUGGAGCAGGCAGAUGAAGUGACGGUGGGAUGGAGUGAUGAAGAAGAAGGAGAGAGGUGCCAAGAGAGGGAACCAUCUGACGGCAAAAGCUCCAACAAGCUGCCUAAUUGGGCACAAGAGGCAAAAAAGAACUUUGGUGGCGAAACACUUCAAAACACUUUCUAAUACCGUGUAAACACAUCCAGGAGGGGAGCAUACCAGCGUACGUGCUGCGGCCAGUGAUUCAUCAUCCUCCUGCAGCCGACGAGAUGAGACUCUGUCCGUCAGCUCCAUUGUGUCGGGAUAACACCCUGAUAAUUAUCUGCACGGCUGCUCUCCUCUUCUCUUCACGCCUCACGUCUGAGUGGGAAAGACAAAGAGCAAGUUUGUAAAAGGGCCUGAAAACUUAGUUAGGUGGUAAGGACGUGGAAAGAGAAGGCGACAGUCGGGGGGAGGGGGGGGGGGGGGUUAGGGGAGGGGCAGGCAGUCGAGCAGACAGAGGAAAAGAGAGGAAGGAGAAAUGAUGAUGAUGAGUGUGGAUAGGCAGGGCGAAUUGAAUCUUUUAAUCUCCCAAAGUGGGAAGAAAGCGACCCGAGGCAUUUGUGAUUGGAUUUACUUUAAGUCCACAAGUAGGUCAAUAGAGCUAGCGUUGCUCAUUAGCAAAGAGGGAGGAGAGGCGUUGGGAGGAGAGCAAGGAAAAAGUUUUGUGUCGAUACAGUGAGCAUCAUUCAUUCGCCCUUUUCUCCUCAGAAGGGGGGGGGUGAAGUUUGGCUGUGUGGCUUUUUGUUUUUGUCAGUCUGAAAAGGGUACUUGAGAAGAAGGCAGCAACUAUAAUAUAAGUCUUGCAAAAGGGCAUUUACAGUUAAUAUCAAUCAAGAUUCUGAUUUCUGAAACCGAGAGGCCUUGAUCAGCCAAAUGAAAGCGACCUGAGGUCAGCAAAGCAGAAAAUACAUGAGGCUGCAUUUGAAAUUCUCAAAAUGAGAAUGGCUGCGUGGCGUACGGAUGAAAGCAUCUGGUUUUGGCAUUUGGCUGGAUAAUAAAGUAUAAUAAUAGUAAUAAUAAGUGCUAAAAGCUUUGUGUAAUUCAUCUUUCCCAGAUUUCCUUCUGCACAAUUAGAUCCUGUUACUAAAGCAUAAUUAGCAACAGGAUGCCAAAGGCAAUUGGAGAGAGGAAGAAACAAGGUGGCAGAGCUGCGGGAAUCAAUGAGAAGAAACUAAAAGGUUAAGUUGAGUGGGGCAC
Long non-coding RNA from Gasterosteus aculeatus aculeatus (three-spined stickleback), 1485 nucleotides. NCBI's taxonomy places the organism in Eukaryota, Metazoa, Chordata, Actinopteri, Perciformes, Gasterosteidae. The record is from Ensembl.